RNAcentral lists this ribosomal RNA (487 nucleotides) under uncultured bacterium. RNAcentral's name for it is "bacterial SSU rRNA". It matches the Rfam family "Bacterial small subunit ribosomal RNA", at positions 25 to 518 of the family's 1533-position model. The record is from RNAcentral.
CAGGACGAACGCUGGCGGCGUGCCUAACACAUGCAAGUCGAACGGAGUAUGAGAGAAGCUUGCUUUUUAAUGCUUAGUGGCGAACGGGUGAGUAACGCGUGAGCAACCUGCCUAUAAGAGGGGGAUAACGUUUGGAAACGAACGCUAAUACCGCAUGAAGUAUAUUAACGGCAUCGUAGAUAUACCAAAGGAGCAAUCCGCUUAUAGAUGGGCUCGCGUCUGAUUAGAUAGUUGGUGAGGUAACGGCUCACCAAGUCGACGAUCAGUAGCCGAACUGAGAGGUUGAUCGGCCACAUUGGGACUGAGACACGGCCCAGACUCCUACGGGAGGCAGCAGUGGGGGAUAUUGGUCAAUGGGGGGAAAAACCCCUGAACCAGCAACGCCGCGUGAAGGAAGACGGUCUUCGGAUUGUAAACUUUUGUUGUUGAGGAGGAUAAUGACGGUACUCAACGAGGAAGCCACGGCUAACUACGUGCCAGCCGCCGC